GACGAACCAAAUUGGCCCGUUUCCUUUCGGUUAUGAGCGCCGCUUUGAGUUUGUCAUCCUUCCAGAGAGCUGCGUCUACCGUUUACUCGGCCGGACGUAUGCGAUCUGGAUCUAUUACUUUGAAAAAAUUAGAGUGUUUAAAGCAGGCAUUUGCUCUGAAUACAUUAGCAUGGAAUAAUAAUUUAGGACUUUGGUUCUAUUUUGUUGGUUUCUAGGACUGAAGUA
RNAcentral lists this ribosomal RNA (225 nucleotides) under uncultured fungus. RNAcentral describes it as "partial small subunit ribosomal RNA". The stretch from base 101 to 225 matches the Rfam family "Eukaryotic small subunit ribosomal RNA", at positions 738 to 864 of the family's 1831-position model. Lineage: Eukaryota; Fungi. The record is from RNAcentral.